CCGUAACUGACGCUGAGGAGCGAAAGGGUGGGGAGCAAACAGGCUUAGAUACCCUGGUAGUCCACCCCGUAAACGUUGGGAACUAGUUGUGGGGUCCAUUCCACGGACUCCGUGACGCAGCUAACGCAUUAAGUUCCCCGCCUGGGGAGUACGGCCGCAAGGCUAAAACUCAAAGGAAUUGACGGGGACCCGCACAAGCGGCGGAGCAUGCGGAUUAAUUCGAUGCAACGCGAAGAACCUUACCAAGGCUUGACAUAUACGAGAACGGGCCAGAAAUGGUCAACUCUUUGGACACUCGUAAACAGGUGGUGCAUGGUUGUCGUCAGCUCGUGUCGUGAGAUGUUGGGUUAAGUCCCGCAACGAGCGCAACCCUCGUUCUAUGUUGCCAGCACGUAAUGGUGGGAACUCAUGGGAUACUGCCGGGGUCAACUCGGAGGAAGGUGGGGAUGACGUCAAAUCAUCAUGCCCCUUAUGUCUUGGGCUUCACGCAUGCUACAAUGGCCGGUACAAAGGGCUGCAAUACCGCAAGGUGGAGCGAAUCCCAAAAAGCCGGUCCCAGUUCGGAUUGAGGUCUGCAACUCGACCUCAUGAAGUCGGAGU
Molecule: ribosomal RNA, 600 nt
Filed under: Microbacterium sp. CH239
Lineage: Bacteria; Bacillati; Actinomycetota; Actinomycetes; Micrococcales; Microbacteriaceae
Description: bacterial SSU rRNA
Rfam family: Bacterial small subunit ribosomal RNA
Source: RNAcentral